UUGGAGGGCAAGUCUGGUGCCAGCAGCCGCGGUAAUUCCAGCUCCAAUAGCGUAUAUUAAAGUUGUUGCAGUUAAAAAGCUCGUAGUUGAAUUUCGGGGUUAGUAGGUUGGUCAUGCCUCUGGUAUGUACUGGUCUCACUGAUUCCUCCUUCCUUAUGAACCGUAAUGCCAUUAAUUUGGUGUUGCGGGGAAUUUGGACUGUUACUUUGAAAAAAUUAGAGUGUUUAAAGCAAGCUAACGCUUGAAUACAUUAGCAUGGAAUAAUGAAAUAGAACGUUCGAUCUUAUUUUGUUGGUUUCUAGGAUUGACGUAAUGAUUAAUAGGGAUAGUUGGGGGCAUUAGUAUUCAAUUGUCAGAGGUGAAAUUCUUGGAUUUAUUGAAGACUAACUACUGCGAAAGCAUUUGCCAAGGAUGUUUUCAUUAAUCAGGAACGAAAGUUAGGGGAUCGAAGACGAUCAGAUACCGUCGUAGUCUUAACCAUAAACUAUGCCGACUAGGGAUCGGAUGAUGUUAAUUUUUUAAUGACUCAUUCGGCACCUUACGGGAAAC
RNAcentral lists this ribosomal RNA (549 nucleotides) under uncultured Glomus. RNAcentral describes it as "SSU rRNA". It matches the Rfam family "Eukaryotic small subunit ribosomal RNA", at positions 548 to 1098 of the family's 1831-position model. Lineage: Eukaryota; Fungi; Glomeromycota; Glomeromycetes; Glomerales; Glomeraceae. The record is from RNAcentral.